CGGACCCUACGGGAGGCAGCAGUGAGGAAUAUUGGUCAAUGGCCGAGAGGCUGAACCAGCCAAGCCGCAUGAGGGAAGACGGUCCUAUGGAUUGUAAACCUCUUUAGGCGGGGAGCAAUGCCGGGCACGCGUGCCCGGAGGGAGAGUACCCGCAGAAUAAGCAUCGGCUAACUCCGUGCCAGCAGCCGCGGUAAUACGGAGGAUGCGAGCGUUAUCCGGAUUUAUUGGGUUUAAAGGGUGCGUAGGCGGAUUUUUAAGUCAGCGGAAAAAUGUCCGGGCUCAACCCGGGCCGGCCGUUGAAACUG
RNAcentral lists this ribosomal RNA (305 nucleotides) under uncultured bacterium. RNAcentral's name for it is "bacterial SSU rRNA". It matches the Rfam family "Bacterial small subunit ribosomal RNA", at positions 332 to 635 of the family's 1533-position model. The record is from RNAcentral.